This 433-nucleotide ribosomal RNA is filed under the name uncultured bacterium. RNAcentral describes it as "partial 16S ribosomal RNA". It matches the Rfam family "Bacterial small subunit ribosomal RNA", at positions 29 to 507 of the family's 1533-position model. The record is from RNAcentral.
AACGAACGCUGGCGGCAUGCCUAACACAUGCAAGUCGAACGAGACCUUCGGGUCUAGUGGCGCACGGGUGCGUAACGCGUGGGAACCUGCCCUUAGGUUCGGAAUAACUCCCCGAAAGGGGUGCUAAUACCGGAUAAUGUCUUCGGACCAAAGAUUUAUCGCCUUUGGAUGGGCCCGCGUUGGAUUAGCUAGUUGGUAGGGUAAAAGCCUACCAAGGCGACGAUCCAUAGCUGGUCUGAGAGGAUGAUCAGCCACACUGGGACUGAGACACGGCCCAGACUCCUACGGGAGGCAGCAGUGGGGAAUAGUGGACAAUGGGCGAAAGCCUGAUCCAGCAAUGCCGCGUGAGUGAUGAAGGCCUUAGGGUUGUAAAGCUCUUUUACCCGGGAGGAUAAUGACAGUACCGGGAGAAUAAGCGCCGGCUAACUCCGUG